UUAGCACUUAAAACCGCGAACUGCGAAUGGCUCAUUAAAUCAGUUAUCGUAUAUUUGAUAGUACCUACUACAUGGAUACCCGUGGUAAUUCUAGAGCUAAUACAUGCUGAAAAUCCCGACUCCGGAAGGGAUGUAUUUAUUAGAUUAAAAACCAAUGCCCUCCGGGGCUCACUGGUGAUUCAUAAUAACUCCUCGAAUCGCAUGGCCUUGCGCCGGCGAUGGUUCAUUCAAAUUUCUGCCCUAUCAACUUUCGACGGCUGGGUCUUGGCCAGCCGUGGUUGCAACGGGUAACGGAGGGUUAGGGCUUGACCCCGGAGAAGGAGCCUGAGAAACGGCUACUACAUCCAAGGAAGGCAGCAGGCGCGCAAAUUACCCAAUCCCGACCCGGGGAGGUAGUGACAAUAAAUACUGAUACAGGGCUCUUUUGGGUCUUGUAAUUGGAAUGAGUACAAUUUAAAUCCCUUAACGAGGAACAAUUGGAGGGCAAGUCUGGUGCCAGCAGCCGCGGUAAUUCCAGCUCCAAUAGCGUCGUAUAUUAAAGUUGUUCCAGUUAAAAAGCUCGUAGUUGAACCUUGGGCCUGGCUGGCCGGUCUGCCUCACCGCAUGCACUGGUCCGGCCGGGCCUUUCCCCCUGGGGAGCCGCAUGCCCUUCACUGGGCGUGCCGGGGAACCAGGACUUUUACUGUGAAAAAAUUAGAGUGUUCAAAGCAGGCCUAUGCUCGGAUACAUUAGCAUGGAAUAAUAGAAUAGGACGUCGCGGUUCUAUUUUGUUGGUUUCUAGGACCGCCGUAAUGAUUAAUAGGGACAGUCGGGGGCAUCAGUAUUCAAUCGUCAGAGGUGAAAUUCUUGGAUCGAUUGAAGACUAACUACUGCGAAAGCAUUUGCCAAGGAUGUUUUCAUUAAUCAGGAACGAAAGUUAGGGGAUCGAAAACGAUCAGAUACCGUUGUAGUCUUAACCAUAAACUAUGCCGACUGGGGAUCGGGCGAUGUUAUUUCUUGACUCGCUCGGCACCCUACACGAAAGUAAAGUUUUUGGGUUCUGGGGGGAGUAUGGUCGCAAGGCUGAAACUUAAAGAAAUUGACGGAAGGGCACCACAAGGGGUGGAACCUGCGGCUUAAUUUGACUCAACACGGGGAGGGGGAAACUCACCGGGUCCGGACACAACUAGGAUUGACAGAUUGAGAGCUCUUUCUUGAUUUUGUGGGUGGUGGUGCAUGGCCGUUCUUAGUUGGUGGAGUGAUUUGUCUGCUUAAUUGCGAUAACGAACGAGACCUUAACCUGCUAAAUAGCCCGACCCGCCUCGGCGGGACGCCGGCUUCUUAGAGGGACUAUCGGCUCAAGCCGAUGGAAGUUUGAGGCAAUAACAGGUCUGUGAUGC
RNAcentral lists this ribosomal RNA (1379 nucleotides) under Phruensis brunneispora. RNAcentral's name for it is "SSU rRNA". It matches the Rfam family "Eukaryotic small subunit ribosomal RNA", at positions 66 to 1470 of the family's 1831-position model. Lineage: Eukaryota; Fungi; Ascomycota; Sordariomycetes; Diaporthales; Cytosporaceae. The record is from RNAcentral.